This 271-nucleotide ribosomal RNA is filed under the name uncultured Pseudomonas sp. Its description in RNAcentral is "partial 16S ribosomal RNA". It matches the Rfam family "Bacterial small subunit ribosomal RNA", at positions 1114 to 1382 of the family's 1533-position model. The record is from RNAcentral. Lineage: Bacteria; Pseudomonadati; Pseudomonadota; Gammaproteobacteria; Pseudomonadales; Pseudomonadaceae.
GUUACCAGCACGUUAAGGUGGGCACUCGUAAGGAGACCUGCCGGUGACAAACCGGAGGAAGGUGGGGAUGACGUCAAGUCAUCAUGGCCCUUACGGCCUGGGCUACACACGUGCUACAAUGGUCGGUACAAAGGGUUGCCAAGCCGCGAGGUGGAGCUAAUCCCAUAAAACCGAUCGUAGUCCGGAUCGCGGUCUGCAACUCGACUGCGUGAAGUCGGAAUCGCUAGUAAUCGUGAAUCAGAAUGUCACGGUGAAUACGUUCCCGGGCCUU